This is a long non-coding RNA of Phasianus colchicus (ring-necked pheasant), 1915 nucleotides long. Lineage: Eukaryota; Metazoa; Chordata; Aves; Galliformes; Phasianidae. The record is from Ensembl.
AGCACAGGAUUGCAUUUGUGGUGGGCUGAGAGUGUGAUACAUUGCACUGCGUGGAAGCAGUGGUGCUGGGCAGAGCCAUAAAUAUCACAGGAUUGCAUUGGUGCUACACAGAGCCAUAAGCAGCACGGAAUUGCAUUGGUGCUGGGCUGAGAGUGUGAUAAAUUGCACUGCGUGGCUGCAUUGGUGCUGUGCAGGGAUAUAAACCUCGUGGAAAUGCGUUGGUGCUGUGCAGAGCCAUUAGCAGCACGGAAUUGCAUUGGUGGUGGGCUGAGAGUGUGAUAAAUUGCACUGCGUGGAUGCAUUGGUGCUCACAGAGCCAUAAGCAGCACAGGGCUGCAUUGGUGCUGCACAGAGCGGUGCUAUAAACAGCAGUGCAUGGAUGCAUUGGUGCUGCACAGGGAUAUAAACCUCGUGGAAAUGCGUUGGUGCUGCGCAGAGCCAUAAGCAGUACAGGAUUGCAUUGGUGGUGGGCUGAGCAGUGUGAUAAAUUGCACUGCGUGGAUGCAGUGGUGCUGCACAGAGACAUAAGCAGCACAGGUUUGCAUUGGUGCUGGGCUGAGCAGUGCUGUCAGCUGCACUGCGUGGCUGCAUUGGUGCUGUGCAGGGAUAUAAACCUCACGGAAAUGCAUUGGUGCUGUGUAUAGCAGUGAUGUAGGCUGCACUGCAUGGAUGCAUUGGUGCUGUGCAAGAUGGUAAACCUCAUGGAAGUGCGUCGGUGCUGCAAAGAGCCACAAACAUCACAGAGCUGCAUUGGUGCAGUGCAGAGCUCAGGGUCACAAACAGCACUGCAUGCAUCGGUGCUGUACAGGGACACAAACAGCACUGCAUGCAUUGGUGCCACAUGGGGUCAUAAACAGCACUGCAUGCAUCCGUGCUGCACGGGGACACAAACAGCACUGCAUGCAUCGGUGCUGCAUGGGGGGGACACAAACAGCACUGCAUGCAUCGGUGCUGCAUGGGGACGCAAACAGCACUGCAUGCAUCAGUGCUGCAUAGGGGGGGGGUCACAAGACAGCGCUGCAUGCAUCGCAGAGCAGGGCUGUAAACCUGACAGCAGUGCAUGGGCGCAGCUCAGAGCAGAGGGGAAACGUUGCAGCAGGAAGGUGGACGGACGGACGGGCAGGCAGGCAGGCAGACAGACGGACGCGGGUUUUGCCCCCGUGCCCGGUUGCGGUGCUGCAGCUUGGACUGGGGGGGGGUUGGGCUGCACCGCGCUGCACCGCGCGUCACCAGGCAGGACCUGGACCUGCAGGGCUCCUCAUUCGGUCAUUAAGGUCAUUUCCUGCCCAACCAUCCCGUGGUUCUGUGAUCUUCCAGGACCUUUCCAACCCAACCCAACCAUCCCGUGGUUCUGUGAUCUUCCAGGACCUUUCCAACCCAACCCAACUAUCCCACUGUUCUGUGAUCUUCCAGGACCUUUCCAAUCUAACCCAACUAUCCCAUGGUUCUGUGAUCUUCCAGGACCUUUCUAACCCAACCCAACCAUCCCAUGGUUCUGUGAUCUUCCAGGACCUUUCCAACCCAACCCAACCAUCUGAUGGGUCUGUGAUCUUCCAGGACCUUUCCAAUCCAACCCAACCAUCCCGUGGUUCUGUGAUCAUCCAGGACCCUUCCAACCCAACCCAACCCAACCAUCCCAUGGUUCUGUGAUCUUCCAGGACCUUUCCAACCCAACCCAACCAUCUGAUGGGUCUGUGAUCUUCCAGGACCUUUCCAACCCAACCAUCCCACAGUUCUGUGAUCUUCCAGGACCUUUCCAAUUCAAUCCAAGUUUUCCAUGGUUCGGUAACCUUUCAGGACCCUUCUAAUUUAAUUCAACUAUUCCACAAUUUUGUGACCUUCCAGGACCUUUCCAACCCAUCCAUUUCAUGGUUUUGUGACCUUCAAGAACCCUUCUAACCCAGUCCAACACAAC